RNAcentral lists this long non-coding RNA (222 nucleotides) under Hordeum vulgare. RNAcentral's name for it is "long non-coding RNA (HVUL_LNC006471)". Lineage: Eukaryota; Viridiplantae; Streptophyta; Magnoliopsida; Poales; Poaceae. The record is from RNAcentral.
GAUUUUUAUGUGGAAAUCCUUGCGGGAGAAAACCACGGACGCACGAAGGCGCAAUCACUAUAAGGGUGGAGUAUUACAAGCACGAGACGACAUACGGUCUUUAGGUGCGACUACGUGGAGUAUAUAUGAGGGGCAAUACACAGGAGUCCUUGGAGGACAAGUAAACGAGUUGUACUCGUACGCGUCGCUACCAACGCAAAGGCCCACACCGUUUGUACUACG